AUCCUAGUUCAGGCAAGGGUACCCACUGAGUUUAACCAUAUCAAUAAGCGGAGGAAAAG
This 59-nucleotide ribosomal RNA is filed under the name Gnetum aff. microcarpum Won 533. RNAcentral describes it as "partial 26S ribosomal RNA". The record is from RNAcentral. Lineage: Eukaryota; Viridiplantae; Streptophyta; Gnetopsida; Gnetales; Gnetaceae.